CUUUUGUCUCGCUGAGAUAGCAGGUUUAGUGGGUGGGCGAAGAUGAGCUGCUGCAGUCCUUCGCACCUGUGAGUGAUCAGGAUCAUUAGUGGAGCUUAGAAGGAGCUGGCUGCCGGACAUUCAAUGCCUUAGUGUCAACUUUAGUGGUUAUCUUCUAGAUGCUUCCUGGUCAACCUCCUCUACGAAGCUCAUGCGUCUGACCCACGCUGCUUUAAACAAUAACCUUCUGGAUCUCAGUCCCACGUCCAGAACAGCCAAGGCUCCUUGUUGGCUCCAAUCUGAAAACCGGUCCGCCCUCUAACGAACCGCUCCACACACCGAUCAAUUCAGAAAGUCACCCUAGACUCAGUGCCUCCUCCCAGCCUGGAUCAUUGCCUUCACCAUGGCGCUCCACACCGAAUCGCUGAAGACUUCUAGAUCCAGCUCAAAAUCAACCUUCUACAAUAAACUGUUAAAACCUAA
Long non-coding RNA from Girardinichthys multiradiatus, 462 nucleotides. RefSeq lists it as uncharacterized. The record is from RefSeq and is a predicted model, not a curated record. The transcript has 3 exons. Lineage: Eukaryota; Metazoa; Chordata; Actinopteri; Cyprinodontiformes; Goodeidae.